This 274-nucleotide ribosomal RNA is filed under the name uncultured bacterium. RNAcentral describes it as "partial 16S ribosomal RNA". It matches the Rfam family "Bacterial small subunit ribosomal RNA", at positions 523 to 796 of the family's 1533-position model. The record is from RNAcentral.
CUACGGAGGGUGCAAGCGUUACUCGGAAUCACUGGGCGUAAAGCGCGCGCAGGCGGUCUUUUAAGUUGGAUGUGAAAGCCUACGGCUCAACCGUAGAACUGCAUCCAAAACUAUUAGACUAGAGUGUGGGAGAGGAAGAUGGAAUUAGUUGUGUAGGGGUAAAAUCCGUAGAGAUAACUAGGAAUACCAAAAGCGAAGGCAAUCUUCUGGAACACUACUGACGCUGAGGCGCGAAAGCGUGGGGAGCAAACGGGAUUAGAUACCCCAGUAGUCC